Molecule: non-coding RNA, 132 nt
Filed under: Stauroneis constricta
Lineage: Eukaryota; Bacillariophyta; Bacillariophyceae; Naviculales; Stauroneidaceae
Source: RNAcentral
AUCAUCCAAAAGGCAGCAGACAUCGCACAAAGAGGAUCCGUACUAGGAUUAAUGUCAUUAUUGGGUUUCCAAAUUUAUCAAAUUACCAAGAAUGCAAAUGAAGGAUUGCGUGAUCAACAAAAUAAUGACAAU